UUACGGAGCACCCGGCCCCUGUGCGUUGCAUGAAAUACGGACUCAAUCAUCGCGGCACUCCUGUGAGGUACGCGGCAGCACUGAUGUCACUGAACAUAGGACACCGAUGCACAGAGAUGUUAAGAACCCCGCACAACAUCCCCGAGUGAAGCACUUUGGUGGGAAGCUCCCACCCAGUCUCCCGCCACAGUGACCCCCCAGAACCACAGGCAAUCUAUAGAAAGUGAUGCCACAAAACUAAAAGGGGGGGGGGAAGGUAACGAUAGGGGAGAAAGAAAUUCAUUUCGAUGAGGGGAAUGCAGAAAAGCUCUAUGGAGAAGUCAGUACAUAAAUAUUUAAUAUACCCUAGGCGCUUGAAUCCCCAGCUGUUAAUUGUUUCCACUUUCUUAUUUGUAUUUUGAAUGACUUUUCUUUGAUUUAAAAGGGAAAUUAACUAAAAGGUGCAGAUAGCAGAUAUAAUGCACACUUGUAUUUACCGAAUACUCGCAUUUUGACAGCUCGGAACCUAGUGUAACAACAUAAGACAAAACAGACUUUCUUUCUCGCGGACUCUCUUCUUUCCUCGGGGCUGCGUUAAUGCUAUUCGUACACAGAAAAAUUAAAGUUCUUAAAAGUUAGGUGGAGUACCUCAAAGAACAGCACGACUUUAUAAAAGGCAAAUACAGAUCUGAAGAGCACAUGUCUGA
This is a long non-coding RNA of Herpailurus yagouaroundi (jaguarundi), 686 nucleotides long. RefSeq lists it as uncharacterized. The transcript is spliced from 3 exons. NCBI's taxonomy places the organism in Eukaryota, Metazoa, Chordata, Mammalia, Carnivora, Felidae. The record is from RefSeq and is a predicted model, not a curated record.